Molecule: ribosomal RNA, 468 nt
Filed under: uncultured bacterium
Lineage: Bacteria
Description: partial 16S ribosomal RNA
Rfam family: Bacterial small subunit ribosomal RNA
Source: RNAcentral
GACGAACGCUGGCGGCGUGCUUAACACAUGCCAGUCGAACGGAAAGGCCCUGCUUUUGUGGGGUGCUCGAGUGGCGAACGGGUGAGUAACACGUGAGUAACCUGCCCUUGACUUUGGGAUAACUUCAGGAAACUGGGGCUAAUACCGGAUAGGAGCUCCUGCUGCAUGGUGGGGGUUGGAAAGUUUCGGCGGUUGGGGAUGGACUCGCGGCUUAUCAGCUUGUUGGUGGGGUAGUGGCUUACCAAGGCUUUGACGGGUAGCCGGCCUGAGAGGGUGACCGGGCACAUUGGGACUGAGAUACGGGCCAGAGUCCUACGGGAGGCAGCAGGGGGGAAUAUUGCACAAUGGGCGGAAGCCUGAUGCAGCAACGCCGCGUGCGGGAUGGCGGCCUUCGGGUUGUAAACCGCUUUCGCCUGUGACGAAGCGUGAGUGACGGUAAUGGGUAAAGAAGCAACGGCUAACUACGUG